RNAcentral lists this long non-coding RNA (7915 nucleotides) under Triticum aestivum (bread wheat). RNAcentral describes it as "long non-coding RNA (TAES_LNC009779)". The record is from RNAcentral. Lineage: Eukaryota; Viridiplantae; Streptophyta; Magnoliopsida; Poales; Poaceae.
GAGGAUUUUGGAGCAUAUCAUUAAGCACAUGAAGCAAGAGGUUCAUUAAGCAACACCUCAUCCCUCCUUGAUAGUAUUGGCUUUUCCAUGGACUCAAUGUGAUCUUGGAUCACUAAAAUGUAAAAUGAAGAGUCUUGAGCUUCAAGCUUUAGCCAAUCCUUUGUCCUUAGCAUCUUGGAGAACUUCCCACAACCUUUAGUCCAUGCCACUCCAUUGUUGAACUUAUCUGAAACAUACUAGAUGAAAACGUUAGUCCAACAAGAGAUAUGUUGUCAUCAAUUAUCAAAACCACCUAGGGAGCACUUGUGCUUUCAAUCUCCCCCUUUUUGGUAAUUGAUGGCAACAUACAUCAAAGCUUUAGAUAAAGAUAUAAAGAACAGUAAGUAAAGCUUUGGAAGGACAUGUAACAAACAUAGGCUCCCCCACAUGUAUGCAAUCAUAUGAAUAUAAAAUAUAGAAGCAUGUGAGAGCAUAAUCAUGAUAGAGUAGGCAAUGUGUUACAUGUAUCUUGGCCAUAUGCAUCAGAGUAAAAGAUUAUCAAGGAAAAUACCUUCAUGCUCAUGAGUCCUUCUUGCAAACAGUAUGUACAUAAGCAAGAACUCCUCAUACUCAUGAUUUUGAUGCAUACACUUACCUUGUAGUUUUUGAGUUGGCUUAGGAUAGAAUGAACCUGCACAAACAAAGUUAGAUAACACAGGUACAUCCACUAGCCAGGGCAAACAAAAGAAACCACAAGAGUACCAAGACUGGGAUGACAUGUAGAGAGUAAGUACUAGGUACUACAUUGAAUUCAACAUGUCACCAAGAGUAAAGAUAUGCAAUGAAUUUGACUGAUUUCUUUCCCUUAGGUGUCUUGCUCCCCCUGAAUCUUACAUGGGAUAUUGGGAGAAGAUAGGAAACAGAAAAUCAGAGCUGAAAGAUACAACUGGAUAGAACUUAAUGCAAAUAAGCGUAUAUGAACAUGUCUUUCCCCCAAAAAGACAUGUGACAUCUCUCCUCUUGAACAUCAAGCAUCUGGGAUCCUUGAGUAUUUUCUCUCCCCCUGGAAAUCUCUUUCUCCCCCUUAAUAACAUCUGGGAUCCUUGAGACUUUCUCUCCCCCUUGAGCUUCCCUUAACAACAUCUGGGAUCCUUGAGACUUUCUCUCCCCCUUGAGCUUUGAUGUGAUCUCUCUCUCCCCCUUUGACAUCAAUUUCCAAGAAAGGGCCUUCUGGAAUCCGGCGUAUAGGUUUGGUCCUUGAGACUCAGCACAAAGAAAUGGAUAAAAUUGUGAUGCUUGUAGAGGACAAGAUUCAUUGAGUGGAGCUGGAUCAGAAGAAAUGUAGAACAAGUGGCAAACUGUUUUUCUGAUUGUAAGGUCGGUGGCACCGAGUGGCAUAUUUCGGUGGUACCGAAAGGAUUCGGUUGGACCAAAAAUUGCAAGUUGGUGAAACCGAGUUUACACAGAGAAAAACACUUGUCACCUCAGCUCACUAGACAUGUAGGAUCUCACAAAGAUUUGCAAUGAAUUACCUGAAGGAUUUGCAAGGAAUUAAAUGCAGAAAAUGCAGAACAAAAACAAAGAGAAAAGAGAAGAAACUGAAAGAUCUAGAUGAAGUUUUUUUUUGAAAAAGAGAAAGAAAAUAAACAUGCAUGAGACAAAUGCAAUAACACAAGAAGGAACACAAGAGAACUUCAUCUAGAGUUGGGCGGUGACAUAGUCACCUAUGUUAGAGUAUAUUGACUUAGGAGUCAAGUGAGAACACUUGAUCAUAGGUCAUACUCAUCGUUUAAGCUCAAAAUGGGGUUACCAUUUUUCGUUUAAGCAUCUUGAUGUAUUCACAUCUUGUUGAGUUGCUUUGACUCAUGUCUUGGAGUAAAGCUUCUCUAAGAUGGAAUAACAUACCUUGGGUGGUGGUGUGGUUCUUGCUCAUGUAGUUGAACUUGUGUGGGUGCUCAAGGUUGAUGUAGCUCAUCAAGAGUUGGGAGCACCACUUGGAGUGUGAGUUCACCUACCUACAUGGAUUAGUUCUUGCAAGGAAGAGCACUUGUGUAUCCAAAAAUGACAAUCAUGAAGCUCAACAUAGAAUUUAUCAAAGGAUAUGUUUGAAUGGUUCUGUGCUUCCUUGUCUUCAACCAUCAUUGUGUAGAGACUUGGUGAUGUAAAGAUUGCUCAAGAUGUGAGUGAGUCGCAAUCUCAUGAAAUUAGAUUCAACCAAGCACCUACAUGGGUUAGACAACAUGCAAGGUACAAAUAUAUCCAAGACAUAAGAUAGUCAUCAUAAGAGAUACAUCAUGGAUUAGUCCUAACCUCAUGUCUUGCAUGUAUCCAAUGGAGUUCCUACUCCAAGUUCGAAGCAUCAAUGAUGUUCAAUUCACCUCUCAACCUGCAAAACACUUUCUCAUCAAGUGGUUUAGUGAAUAUAUCCGCUAAUUGCUUAUCGGUGCGAACAUGCUUAAGAUCAAUGUCACCCUUAGCAACAUGAUCUCGAAUGAAGUGAUGACGAACUUCAAUAUGCUUAGUUCGAGAAUGUUGUACAGGAUUAUGACCAAUUUUGAUAGCACUUUCAUUUUCACAAAGCAGUGGAACAUGUUUAACAUAGAUUCCAUAAUCUUUGAGAGUUUGGGUCAUCCAAAGUAAUUGAGCACAACAUGAAACAACGGCAAUGUAUUCCACUUCGGCGGUGGAUAAGGAUACGGAGUUUUGUUUCUUGGAAGACCAAGACACAAGAGAUCUACCAAGAAAUUGACAAGUACCCAAAGUUGACUUUCUAUCAACCUUGUCUCCGGCAUAAUCCGAGUCGGAAUAGCCAACAAGAUCAAAAGAAGACCUCUUAGGAUACCAAAUGCCAAAAUUUGGUGUAUGAAUUAAGUAUCUAACUAUCCUUUUCACGGCCUUAAGAUGACAUUAUUUAGGAGCAGCUUGAUAUCGGGCACACAUGCACACACUUAGCAUAAUAUCGGGACGUCAAGCACAUAGGUAUAACAAUGAACCAAUCAUAGAGCGAAAAACCUUUUGAUCAACCGGUUCACCAUCUUUGGUCAAAUCAUUAUGCCCACUAGUAGGCAUGGGUGUAGACAUACCUUUGCAUUCUUGCAUAUUGAACUUCUUGAAUAAGUCAUUGGUGUACUUUGUUUGAGAGACAAAUGUACCUUCCUUAGUUUGCUUGAUUUGCAAACCGAGAAAGAAUUUGAGUUCACUCAUCAUAGACAUCUCAAACUUUUCUGACAUUAGCUUUCCAAACUUUUCACUAAAGAGAGGGUUAGUUGAACCAAAUAUGAUAUCAUCAACAUAAAUUUGGCAUACAAAUAGUUCUCCAUUAACCCUUUUAGUAAAAAGAGUAGAAUCAAUUUUACCAAUUUCAAAACCACUUGCAAUAAGGAACUUGGUCAGGCAUUUAUACCAUGCUCUAGGAGCUUGUUUAAGACCAUAAAGAGCUUUGUGAAGUUUGUAAACAUGAUUUGGUUUCUUAGGAUUGAUAAAGCCGGGAGGUUGUUUGACAUAAACUUCCUCCUCUAUUUCACCAUUUCGAAAAGCACUUUUAAUGUCCAUUUCGUACAAGGUGAUAUUAUGGUGAUUAGCAUAAGCAAGUAAGAUGCGAAUGGACUCAAGUCUAGCAACGGGAGCAUAUGUCUCGCCAUAGUCCAUACCUUCGACUUGUGUGUACCCUUGGGCGACGAGACGUGCUUUGUUGCGAACCACUUGUCCAUCUUCAUCUUGCUUGUUGCGAAACACCCAUUUGGUACCAAUGAUGUUGUGGUUGUUGUCGGGCUUCUCAACCAAUGUCCAAAUUUGGUUCCUCUCAAAGUUGUGUAGCUCUUCAUGCAUAGCGUUUAUCCAAUCCGGAUCUCCCAAUGCUUCUUCGACCUUCAUAGGUUCAAUGCUAGAGAUGAAUGAAUAGUUUUCACAAAAGUUAGCUAAACGAGUUUUUGAGCGAGUGAUUCUCCCGGUUUGUAUAUCAUUGAAGAUUCGCUCGACGGGAUGAUCUUUGGCGAUUCUUGCUCGAACUCGUGAGAGCUUUUGCUUGGGUCUUCGUUGAACAUCUUCUUCAUCUUGUUAUUCUUCUUGGCCUUCUUCAUUGUUGACGUUGUCGUUUUCUUGUCGUGGUGGAGAAGGAGGUUGUUGAUGUUCGUCUUGAUGCAUUUCCUUGUCUUCUUCAUCUUGGUGUGUCCCACUUGUGGAUGCUUCCGUAUCGAUUCUUGGUUCACCUUGUUGUGAAGUAGAAGCUUCCACUUGGACGGAUGAAGUACUCUCCUACACCUCCGUUGGACGAAUUUUGCCAAUGGGCAAGUCUUGGAUUGCUUCCGAAGGGUCUUUGUCUCCUACAUCAAUUGGCAAUUGCUCUACUUGCGAGCCAUUAGAUUCAUCAAACUUCACAUCUACCGUCUCUUCAACCUUUCGGGUGAAAUUGUUGUAGACACGGUAAGUGUGAGAGUUUGAGCCAUAACCAAGUAGGAAACCUUCAUGAGAUUUAGGAGCAAACUUUGAAAGAUGAUGCUUAUCAAGAAUGUAGCACUUUGAGCCGAAUACUCAAAAGUAUCCAACUUGGGGUUUGUUACCGGUGAGGAGCUCGUCUGCCGUCUUGCCGAGUAGCUUGUGAAGGUACAAGCGAUUUGUUGCGUGACAAGCUGUCUCAACCGCUUCUGCCCAAAAGUGCUUCGGCGUCUUGUAUUCAUCAAGCAUCGUUCUUGCCAUUUCGAUGAGUGUCCGGUUCUUCCUCUCAACAACUCCAUUUUGUUGAGGUGUGUACAUAGCUGAGAGCUCGUGUGAAAUCCCUUCUUCGUCAAGAAAGGUGUCCACAUUUGUGUUCUUGAACUCCGUUCCGUUGUCACUCCGAACCUUCUUGAUCUUCACGUCAAACUGAUUUUGGGCCUUCCUAGCGAAGUUUUUGAAGAUCUUCUGUACCUGCGACUUGUCAUUAAGAAAGAACACCCACGUAAAUCUUGAAAAAUCAUCAACUAUAACUAGACCAAAAGAAUUUCCACCGAGACUCUUGUAGGCGUUGGGACCAAAGAGAUCCAUGUGAAGUAGCUCGAGUGGCCUCCUUGUGGUCAUGAUGUUCUUCAUGGUAUGCCUUCCUCCAACCUGUUUACCUGCUUGACAAGAACUGCAAAGUCUAUCCUUAUCAAAUAUGACAUCGUUAACUCCAAGGAUAUGAUUUCCUUUAAUAAGCUUGUCAAGGUUUCUCAUGCCAACGUGACCUAGUCAUCUAUGCCACAACCAACCUUUUGAGGAUUUAGCAAUAAAGCAAGUUUUAGGUUGUGCCUUUUUAGAGAAAUCGACAAUGUAAAGAUCACCUCUACGCAUACCGGUAAAGACCAUUUUAUGAUUGUCUCGACGAAAUACUUGGCAAUCUACCUCAGUAAAUAGGACAUUCAAACCGAAAUCAGCAAGUCUAGAUACUGAAAGUAAGUUGUAGCCGAGUGAUUCAACGAGCAUGAAAUUUUGAAUGGAACUAUCAUGUGAGAUGGCCACCUUACCAAGGCCAACCACUUUACCCUUUGAGUUAUCACCAAAGGUGACAUAUUUUCGAGGGCCGUCAUUUUCAGCAAUCUCACGGAACAUCUCUUCAUCUCCAGUCAUAUGAUCAGUACAUCCACUAUCAAGAACCCAUUCCUUUCCUCCUGACGCAUAUCCUCGAAGAUUUGGCGUAAGACCAAAAUGUCUCAUUGCAUCAUCAAGAUCGAAGUCACUAUCAUCAGCAUCAUCAUAGUAUCCAUGUUCAUCAUGAUCUUGUGACUCAUCAUUUCCUAGAGAGGGUAAUUCAUUAGAUAAAUGAUCAUCAAAGUGGUCACUUUUAUGAAUUCUUAUAGCUUCAGAUAUAAUAUCACUAAUGAUUCCAACAUCUCCUUUAGCUCGCUUGAGAUUGGCAAGCUCAAAUAGACAAUCACCAAAGCUAGGAUCACUAGAGUUCAUCUUACUCAAGGCAAUAGAUUUAUGGAGAAUUUCAUCCAAAUUUUUCAAGGAAUGGUCGGGAAAUCAUUCCUCAAGAAAUUUCCAUAUAGUAUAGGCACAAUUAAGAGUAGGCAAACUAGCAAUCAAAUUUUUGGGCAAUCCUCUAAUGAUGAGCUCGAUAGUUCUAAGAUUGCGAAUCAUGUCAAUAUCUUCAUCUAGGGUAGGAUGCAAGGGAUCAAUAUGAGGUGCACAAGGGCUAGCAAUAUACUUGUUCAAAUGGUAUUGGUUGAAGAUUACAAGCAUCUCAUUUUUCCACUCAUGAAAAUAUUCUCCAUCAAGAAUAGGCACUCUAUGUCUAAGACUCCCUAAAGUAGACACAUCCAUCUUCCUCCAAUGGUGAUUAAACCAAGGCAAUGGAGACCAAAGCUCUGAUACCACUUGUAGGACCUUGAAGUAGAUGUGUCUAGAGGGGGGUGAUUAGACACAUAAUGCUAAAGUUGCAAUUUUUAAGCUUUUUCGGUUUAAGUGGAGUUUAAGCGUAAUUUCAACAAUCACAAUACAUAUCAAGCAAGUAUGCAAAGAGUAUAUAGGCAGCGGAAAGUAAAGCAUGCAACUUGCAAGAAUGUAAAGGGAAGGGUUUGGAGAAUUCAAACGCAAUCGGAGACACGGAUGUUUUUCCCAUGGUUCGGAUAGGUGGUGCUAUCCUACAUCCACGUUGAUGGAGACUUCAACCCAUGAAGGGUAACGGUUGCGCGAGUCCACGGAGGGCUCCACCCACGAAGGGUCCACGAAGAAGCAACCUUGUCUAUCCCACCAUGGCCAUCGCCCACAAAGGACUUGCCUCACUAGCGGUAGAUCUUCAUGAAGUAGGCGAUCUCCUUGCCCUUACAAACUCCUUGGUUCAACUCCACAAUCUUGUCGGAGGCUCCCAAGUGACACCUAGCCAAUCUAGGAGACACCACUCUCCAAGAAGUAACAAAUGGUGUGUUGAUGAUGAACUCCUUGCUCUUGUGCUUCAAAUGAUAGUCUCCCCAACACUCAACUCUCUCUCAUAGGAUUUGGAUCUGGUGGAAAGAAGAUUUGAGUGGAAAGCAACUUGGGGAAGGCUAGAGAUCAAGAUUCAUAUGGUAGGAAUGGAAUAUCUUGGCCUCAACACAUGAGUAGGUAGUUCUCUCUCAGAAAUAGGAUGCUGAAAGUGUAGGCUUAGUCUGAUGGCUCUCUCUUCGAAUGAAGAGGAGGUGGAGGGGUAUAUAUAGCCUCCACACAAAAUCCGACCGUUACACACAAUUUACCAAUCUCGGUGGGACCGAAUCAACAAACUCGGUCGGAGCGAAAAGGUAAACCUAGUGACCGUUGGAGAUUUCGGUGGGACCGUCUGGAUCAACUCGGUGGGACCGAUGUGCUAGGGUUAAGGUAAAUCCAAAACUCGGUUUGACCGAUUACUCAAACUCAGUGGGACCGAUUUGGGUAAUAAGCGAAACAGAGAUUUGGCCAAGCAAACUCGGUGGGACCGAUUGCAUAUCUCGGUGGGACCGAGAAUAAUGCAAUAGGUAACAGAGAGUUUGCAAGCCCAUCUCGGUGAGACCGAGAUCCCAUCGGUGAGACCGAACUGAUUAGGGUUUCUGGCAGUGGCUAUGACAAGUGAAACUCGGUGGCGCCGGAUAGGAAUAAUCGGUAGGUCCGAGUUUGGCUUUAGGUUUAGGUCAUAUGUGGAAGUGGGAAAGUAGCUGAGGAUUUUGGAGCAUAUCAUUAAGCACAUGAAGCAAGAGGUUCAUUAAGCAACACCUCAUCCCUCCUUGAUAGUAUUGGCUUUUCCUAUGGACUCAAUGUGAUCUUGGAUCACUAAAAUGUAAAAUGAAGAGUCUUGAGCUUCAAGCUUUAGCCAAUCCUUUGUCCUUAGCAUCUUGGAGAACUUCCCACAACCUUUAGUCCAUGCCACUCCAUUGUUGAACUUAUCUGAAACAUACUAGAUGAAAACAUUAGUCCAACAAGAGAUAUGUUGUCAUCAAUUAUCAAAACCACCUAGGGAGCACUUGUGCUU